UACGUAGGGGGCAAGCGUUGUCCGGAAUCAUUGGGCGUAAAGAGCGCGUAGGCGGCCCAGUAAGUCCGCUCUGAAAGUCAGGGGCUCAACCCCUGAAUGCGGGUGGAUACUGCUGGGCUAGAGUCCGGAAGAGGCGAGUGGAAUUCCUGGUGUAGCGGUGGAAUGCGUAGAGAUCCGGAAGAACACCGGUGGCGAAGGCGGCCUGCUGGGCGGCGACUGACGCUGAGGCGCGACAGCGUGGGGAGCAAACAGG
This 253-nucleotide ribosomal RNA is filed under the name uncultured bacterium. RNAcentral's name for it is "partial 16S ribosomal RNA". It matches the Rfam family "Bacterial small subunit ribosomal RNA", at positions 524 to 776 of the family's 1533-position model. The record is from RNAcentral.